UACGAAGGGGGCUAGCGUUGCUCGGAAUCACUGGGCGUAAAGGGUGCGUAGGCGGGUUUUUAAGUCAGAGGUGAAAUCCUGGAGCUCAACUCCAGAACUGCCUUUGAUACUGAAAAUCUUGAGUAUGGGAGAGGUGAGUGGAACUGCGAGUGUAGAGGUGAAAUUCGUAGAUAUUCGCAAGAACACCAGUGGCGAAGGCGGCUCACUGGCCCAUAACUGACGCUGAGGCACGAAAGCGUGGGGAGCAAACAGG
Molecule: ribosomal RNA, 253 nt
Filed under: uncultured bacterium
Lineage: Bacteria
Description: partial 16S ribosomal RNA
Rfam family: Bacterial small subunit ribosomal RNA
Source: RNAcentral